CCGAGUUAUACAACUCAUCAACCCUGUGAACAUACCUAAACGUUGCCUCGGCGGGAACAGACGGCCCCGUGAAAACGGGCCGCCCCCGCCAGAGGACCCCCUAACUCUGUUUCUAUAAUGUUUCUUCUGAGUAAAACAAGCAAAUAAAUUAAAACUUUCAACAACGGAUCUCUUGGCUCUGGCAUCGAUGAAGAACGCAGCGAAAUGCGAUAAGUAAUGUGAAUUGCAGAAUUCAGUGAAUCAUCGAAUCUUUGAACGCACAUUGCGCCCGCCAGUAUUCUGGCGGGCAUGCCUGUUCGAGCGUCAUUACAACCCUCAGGCCCCCGGGCCUGGCGUUGGGGAUCGGCGGAGGCCCUCCGUGGGCACACGCCGUCCCCCAAAUACAGUGGCGGUCCCGCCGCAGCUUCCAUCGCGUAGUAGCUAACACCUCGCGACUGGAGAGCGGCGCGGCCACGCCGUAAAACCCCCAACUCUUCUGAAGUUGACCUCGAAUCAGGUAGGAAUACCCGCUGAACUUAAGCAUAUCAAUAAGCGGAGGAAAAGAAACCAACAGGGAUUGCCCCAGUAACGGCGAGUGAAGCGGCAACAGCUCAAAUUUGAAAUCUGGCUCUCGGGCCCGAGUUGUAAUUUGUAGAGGAUGCUUUUGGUGAGGUGCCUUCCGAGUUCCCUGGAACGGGACGCCAUAGAGGGUGAGAGCCCCGUCUGGUUGGACGCCGAACCUCUGUAAAGCUCCUUCGACGAGUCGAGUAGUUUGGGAAUGCUGCUCUAAAUGGGAGGUAUAUGUCUUCUAAAGCUAAAUACCGGCCAGAGACCGAUAGCGCACAAGUAGAGUGAUCGAAAGAUGAAAAGAACUUUGAAAAGAGAGUUAAAAAGUACGUGAAAUUGUUGAAAGGGAAGCGCUUGUGACCAGACUUGGGCUUGGUUGAUCAUCCGGGGUUCUCCCCGGUGCACUCUUCCGGCCCAGGCCAGCAUCAGUUCGCCCUGGGGGACAAAGGCUUCGGGAACGUGGCUCUCUCCGGGGAGUGUUAU
Molecule: ribosomal RNA, 1029 nt
Filed under: Fusarium cf. solani CBS 2012
Lineage: Eukaryota; Fungi; Ascomycota; Sordariomycetes; Hypocreales; Nectriaceae
Description: eukaryotic LSU rRNA
Rfam family: Eukaryotic large subunit ribosomal RNA (bases 483-1029)
Source: RNAcentral